UACGUAGGGGGCAAGCGUUGUCCGGAUUUAUUGGGCGUAAAGAGCGUGUAGGCGGCCUGAAAGGUCAGCUGUGAAAACUCGAGGCUCAACCUCGAGACGUCGGUUGAAACCAUCUGGCUAGAGUCCGGGAGAGGAGUGUGGAAUUCCCGGUGUAGUGGUGAAAUGCGUAGAUAUCGGGAGGAACACCAGUGGCGAAGGCGACUUCCUGGCCUGUUCUUGACGCUGAGGCGCGAAAGCUAGGGUAGCAAACGGG
This 253-nucleotide ribosomal RNA is filed under the name uncultured bacterium. RNAcentral describes it as "partial 16S ribosomal RNA". It matches the Rfam family "Bacterial small subunit ribosomal RNA", at positions 524 to 776 of the family's 1533-position model. The record is from RNAcentral.